GACGAACGCUGGCGGCGUGCUUAACACAUGCAAGUCGAACGGUGAAGCGCUUUCCUUUUUGGUUGGUGUGGAUGAGUGGCGAACGGGUGAGUAACACGUGAGUAACCUGCCCCCUUCUUCUGGAUAACCGCAUGAAAGUGUGGCUAAUACGGGAUAUUCUGCGCCUGCUGCAUGGUGGGUGUGGGAAAGAUUGUGCCUUUGGGUGUUUUCGGUGGGGGAUGGGCUCGCGGCCUAUCAGCUUGUUGGUGGGGUGAUGGCCUACCAAGGCGGUGACGGGUAGCCGGCCGGGGGGGGUGGAGGGGCCCCCGGGGACUGGGACAGGGCCCAAACUCCUACGGGGGGAGGGAGGGGGGAAUAUUGCACAAGGGGCGCAAGCCUGAUGCGGCGACGCCGGGUGAGGGGUGGGGGCCUUCGGGUUGGGAACCUCUUUCGCCAGUGAAGCAGGCCUGCUCUUGGUGGGUGGGUGGACGGUAGCGGGAAAAGAAGCCCCGGCAAACUCCGU
Molecule: ribosomal RNA, 502 nt
Filed under: uncultured bacterium
Lineage: Bacteria
Description: partial 16S ribosomal RNA
Rfam family: Bacterial small subunit ribosomal RNA
Source: RNAcentral